Molecule: ribosomal RNA, 639 nt
Filed under: uncultured Actinomycetes bacterium
Lineage: Bacteria; Bacillati; Actinomycetota; Actinomycetes
Description: bacterial SSU rRNA
Rfam family: Bacterial small subunit ribosomal RNA
Source: RNAcentral
CGCGGCCUAUCAGCUUGUUGGUGAGGUAACGGCUCACCAAGGCAUCGACGGGUAGCUGGUCUGAGAGGACGAUCAGCCACACUGGGACUGAGACACGGCCCAGACUCCUACGGGAGGCAGCAGUAGGGAAUCUUGCGCAAUGGGCGAAAGCCUGACGCAGCAACGCCGCGUGGGGGAUGAAUGCCUUCGGGUUGUAAACCCCUUUCAGCAGGGACGAAAAUGACGGUACCUGCAGAAGAAGCUCCGGCCAACUACGUGCCAGCAGCCGCGGUAAUACGCAGGGAGCGAGCGUUGUCCGGAAUUAUUGGGCGUAAAGAGCUCGUAGGCGGUUCAGUAAGUCGGGUGUGAAAACUCAAGGCUCAACCUUGAGACGCCACUCGAUACUGCUGUGACUUGAGUCCGGUAGAGGAGUGUGGAAUUCCUGGUGUAGCGGUGAAAUGCGCAGAUAUCAGGAGGAACACCAGCGGCGAAGGCGGCACUCUGGGCCGGCACUGACGCUGAGGAGCGAAAGCAUGGGGAGCAAACAGGAUUAGAUACCCUGGUAGUCCAUGCCGUAAACGUUGGGCACUAGGUAUGGGAUCAUAUCAACGGAUUCCGUGCCGUAGCUAACGCAUUAAGUGCCCCGCCUGGGGAGUACGG